Molecule: ribosomal RNA, 412 nt
Filed under: uncultured Acinetobacter sp.
Lineage: Bacteria; Pseudomonadati; Pseudomonadota; Gammaproteobacteria; Moraxellales; Moraxellaceae
Description: bacterial SSU rRNA
Rfam family: Bacterial small subunit ribosomal RNA
Source: RNAcentral
GUGCCAGCCGCCGCGGUAAUACAGAGGGUGCGAGCGUUAAUCGGAUUUACUGGGCGUAAAGCGUGCGUAGGCGGCUUCUUAAGUCGGAUGUGAAAUCCCUGAGCUUAACUUAGGAAUUGCAUUCGAUACUGGGAAGCUAGAGUAUGGGAGAGGAUGGUAGAAUUCCAGGUGUAGCGGUGAAAUGCGUAGAGAUCUGGAGGAAUACCGAUGGCGAAGGCAGCCAUCUGGCCUAAUACUGACGCUGAGGUACGAAAGCAUGGGGAGCAAACAGGAUUAGAUACCCUGGUAGUCCAUGCCGUAAACGAUGUCUACUAGCCGUUGGGGCCUUUGAGGCUUUAGUGGCGCAGCUAACGCGAUAAGUAGACCGCCUGGGGAGUACGGUCGCAAGACUAAAACUCAAAGGAAUUGGCGG